This 486-nucleotide ribosomal RNA is filed under the name Veprecula sp. NP-2008. RNAcentral describes it as "partial 16S ribosomal RNA". It matches the Rfam family "Bacterial large subunit ribosomal RNA", at positions 1845 to 2598 of the family's 2925-position model. Lineage: Eukaryota; Metazoa; Mollusca; Gastropoda; Neogastropoda; Raphitomidae. The record is from RNAcentral.
AUAAGAAGUCUUACCUGCCCGGUGAUAAUAUUUUAAACGGCCGCAGUACUUUGACUGUGCAAAGGUAGCAUAAUAAUUUGCCUUUUAAUUAAAGGCUAGAAUGAAUGGUGUGUCAAGGAAAAUCCUGUCUCUAAUAAAUUUAAUAGAAUUUUAUUUUAAGGUGAAAAAGCCUAAGUUAAAUUAAUAGACAAGAAGACCCUAUCGAGCUUUAAAUAAACUAAUAUUUUAUUGUAUUAUUUAAAACUUAAGUUAUUAUAAGUUUUUGGUUGGGGCAACCAAGGAGUAUAAAAAGCCUCCUUUAAAAUUAAAUUAAAUUAAAUGAUCCAGACAAUUCUGAUUUAAAGAAAUAGUUACCGUAGGGAUAACAGCAUUAUUUUUUUAAAGAGUUCAUAUCGAAAAAAAAGUUUGUGACCUCGAUGUUGGAUCAAAAUUUCCUAAAGAUGUAGCAGUCUUUAAGGGUUAGUCUGUUCGACUAUUAAAAUUUUA